UUAAGAAACAAAGAGCGCACGGUGGAUGCCUUGGCACUAAUAGGCGAAGAAGGACGCGACUAACAGCGAAAUGCUACGGGGAGCAGUAAGUACGCAGAGAUCCGUAGAUGUCCGAAUGGGGGAACCCACUAGUUUGAAGAACUAGUAUCAUAUAGUGAAUACAUAGCUAUAUGAGGCAAACCUGGAGAAUUGAAACAUCUUAGUACCCAGAGGAAAAGAAAAUAAAUAAUGAUUCCCUAAGUAGAGGCGAUUGAAAGGGGAAGAGCCCAGCACCAUCAAGAGUUACAAAAUCUUUUUAUAGUAGAAUUGUAUUGGAAAAGCAAGUCAAAGAAGGUGAAAGCCCUGUAUACGAAAUAAAGAGAUCUCGGUGUGAGAGUAGGGCGGAGCACGUGAAAUUCUGUCUGAAUAUGCGAGGACCAUCUCGUAAGGCUAAAUACUCAUUAGUGACCGAUAGUGAACCAGUACUGUGAAGGAAAGGUGAAAAGAACCCCUGGCGGGGAGUGAAAAGAACCUGAAACCGUGUGCUUACAAACAGUUAGAGCCCAUCAAUGGGUGAUAGCGUGCCUUUUGUAGAAUGAGCCGGCGAGUUACGUUAAUUUGCAAGGUUAAGCUUUUAGGAGUGGAGCCGUAGCGAAAGCAAGUCUUAAUAGGGCGAAUAAGUAGAUUGACGUAUACCCGAAACCGGGUGAUCUAGCCAUGAGCAGGUUGAAGCUUGGGUAAAACCAGGUGGAGGACCGAACCAGGGUCUGUUGAAAAAGACUUGGAUGACUUGUGGCUAGGGGUGAAAUUCCAAUCGAACCCGGAGAUAGCUGGUUCUCCCCGAAAUAGCUUUAGGGCUAGCGUUGUGAGAAGAGUUAUACGAAGGUAGAGCACUGAAUGGGUGAGGGCCGCACCUCGCGGUACCAAUCUCAAUCAAACUCCGAAUGUCGUAUAAUAUGCGCAGCAGUAAGACUAUGGGUGAUAAGGUCCAUGGUCAAAAGGGAAACAGCCCAGACCGCCAGUUAAGGUCCCAAAAUUAUGCUAAGUGGGAAAGGAGGUGGAGUCGCUUAAACAACUAGGAGGUUGGCUCAGAAGCAGCCAUCCUUUAAAGAGUGCGUAAUAGCUCACUAGUCGAGUGAUUCUGCGCCGAAAAUGUAUCGGGGCUAAGCAUAAUACCGAAGCUGCGGGAUUAGAUGAAGAAUCUAAUCGGUAGGGGAGCGUACUAAGUGCGUAGAAGGUUGACCGGAAGGGCAGCUGGAGCGCUUAGCAGUGAGUAUGCCGGUGUGAGUAGCGAUAAGAUGGGUGAGAAUCCCAUCCGUCGAAAGCCUAAGGUUUCCAGGGGUAAGGCUCGUCCUCCCUGGGUAAGUCGGGUCCUAAGGUGAGGCUGAGAAGCGUAGCUGAUGGACAUCAGGUUGAUAUUCCUGAACCACCAUAAAACUGAAGGAAUGACGGAGGAGGCUAAUCAGAGCUGAUUAAUGGAUUUCAGUUUAAGUACAAAGAGGGUUACGUAGGCAAAUCCGCGUAGCAAAACCUUGAAGUAUGAUGACGUAAGUCUGGUGAAGCCACACUUCCAAGAAAAGUUUCUAGGUGUAUUUUAUGGUGCCCGUACCGUAAACGGACACACGUAGGCGAGGAGAGAAUCCAAAGACGCGCGAGAUAAUUCUUGUUAAGGAACUCUGCAAAAUUACUCUGUAACUUCGGAAUAAAGAGGGCUCCCGUGAGGGAGACGCAGAAAAUAGGCCCAAGCGACUGUUUAACAAAAACAUAGGUUUCUGCUAAAGCGUAAGCUGAUGUAUAGGAGCUGACGCCUGCCCAGUGCUGGAAGGUUAAGAGGAGAAGUUAGUCGCAAGGCGAAGCUUUGAAUUGAAGCCCCAGUAAACGGCGGCCGUAACUAUAACGGUCCUAAGGUAGCGAAAUUCCUUGUCAGGUAAGUUCUGACCCGCACGAAAGGCGUAACGAUUUG
This 1942-nucleotide ribosomal RNA is filed under the name human gut metagenome. Its description in RNAcentral is "bacterial LSU rRNA". It matches the Rfam family "Bacterial large subunit ribosomal RNA", at positions 1 to 2011 of the family's 2925-position model. The record is from RNAcentral.